UACGUAGGGUGCAAGCGUUAUCCGGAAUUAUUGGGCGUAAAGAGCUCGUAGGCGGUUUGUCGCGUCUGCUGUGAAAACUGGAGGCUCAACCUCCAGCCUGCAGUGGGUACGGGCAGACUAGAGUGCGGUAGGGGAGAUUGGAAUUCCUGGUGUAGCGGUGGAAUGCGCAGAUAUCAGGAGGAACACCGAUGGCGAAGGCAGACCUCUGGGCCGUAACUGACGCUGAGGAGCGAAAGCUAGGGGAGCGAACGGG
This 253-nucleotide ribosomal RNA is filed under the name uncultured bacterium. RNAcentral's name for it is "partial 16S ribosomal RNA". It matches the Rfam family "Bacterial small subunit ribosomal RNA", at positions 524 to 776 of the family's 1533-position model. The record is from RNAcentral.